UUGGCUAGAAUCCAAAGUGUAUGACAUCUCAGGAAAUAAAAGCACCAAAAUAAAGCACCGAAAUGUGCGCUGCUUUUCGGUCUGGUUACUACCGUUUAUGUCAGACACCGGUACCCAUCCCUACAUAUGUAGAGUAUUAUUGUAAAACUGUAGCUGAUGAAAUCGACCCAGGAGGUUUUUGUUAGUGUGUCUGCCUUUAAACACUUACACUAAAAAUCUUUAAAAAAUUCUGAUCAAACUGUGCUGAGUUGCAGAGCUCACGGUCACAUCCACCCACUUAUCCAGCUCAGGGUGGCUGGGGUGGGGGGUGGAGCCUAUCGCAGCUUUUUCAGGGUUCGUGGUAACGAUCCUUUAAAAUCUGUCCUCCAUCCAUCGACGUGUUCGAGGUUCAUGAUUCAUCGGUGGAAAAUUGACAAAAAGCCAAAAACUUUGAUUCUUCUUCUUAUUUAGAUUUUAAGCCCAACAAGGGACAAUUGUUGAAAAUUAGCAGUAGCUAUAGACCUAUGUGCGUUUCAUCAGUUUCAUGUCUUACACUUGAACUAUGUUAAACUGCACUGUCCCUUUUAAAUAAAUAAAUUCUAAAUUCUACAGUGUGCUGUAGAUUUAAAAUACUGUCUUUGACCUCUGACCUUUCCUCCAAGUCAGUAGAUUGAUCUGAAGGUCAAAGUGAUAAAAAUCCUUUAUAGACAUUUUUAUAAAGACAAAAGCUUGUUAGGUAACAAAUGUUGGCCUGAGAUAGUUUCUGAGUGCAGUUUAUUCAUUUCAUGAACACAUGAAUAAUGUUCCUGUUAAAUUUAAACUGUUUCACUUGGUACUAAUGACUAAACAUUUAAAUGUCAGACGUCUCCUGUAGUCACAUUUAAAACAAUGAUUAUAUUCAAAUUUAAAUCAAGUAAACUUGGAAAAAAGUAGAUUUGUGUUGACUGACUUUGUGUUUGACUCAUGUUUGUGUGCAGACGUGUUCGCUGAAGCUUCAGCUGUUCACAAAAAGCACAGACAGCUCAUCAGCUGCUCAGCUUCCUUCUUGUCUCACCGUCAUCAGUCUGUUAAUAACACAUGAAUGAACCUGGACAUUCAAACACAGAAGCUUCUCUCUGUUCAUGUCUUUGAUUAUAUUACUCUGUGAUUCAGGGCUUUCUGCUGCUCUCGUCUCUUCCAGCUCCGUUAGUUAUUCCUUAGUAUUCUUGGUGAUUAAUAGUCUUUAGGUUUAGUUAAUGUUCCUCACCUGUGUUUCAUGUUACGUCCAGUUAUCCUGGUUUCUAUAUCAGUCUAUUUCCUGUUUUACUUUGACAGUCCUGUGUCCCGUGUUAGGUUCAGCUGUGUCGCGUGUUCCCUCGUUAGCCUCUGUAUUUACUGUGUGUGUUCCUCGGCGUCUCGUCUUGUCCACUGCGUAUCGCAGUCUCAGGUUUCUUCAGGUCUCAGGUUCUGGAUUGUUGUUUUAUGUUUCUUGGGUUAGUGUGUUUAGCUUUUCCCAGUUUAGGUUGUUGUUCCCCUUUGCUUGUUGUUUUUUAGUGUUUUUGUGCAGCCAAACAUAAAGACUCGCCUUCUGUUAAACUUCCAGCUCCAUCUCCGUUUGUCUGCAUUUGGGUCGGCGUGCUGUCACCUCCACGCCAUCUGCAGACAUGAAACAGGGAUACAAGAAUAAAAGAGAUAAACCUUCGUUAUGCAAGCCAGAGUCACACAAUGAUGUCAUUAAAACGACUUUAAUGUUAAAGCAACAUACAUGUCAGGUUUAAAUUAUUUUUAAUGCAGUGAAGUUAGAAAAACAACAGGAAACUUUUCAACUUCACACAUUUGUAGCUUAAAGAUUCAGAAUUGUGGGACCUGAAUGUGGAAACUAGUUGGACAGUUUGAGUUAAUGAAUAAUAGAUAAAGAAGUCCUGAUGUCACAUGACUGCAGCGUCCACAGCCUGAGUGCUUCAUCUGUUUAUAAUCAUUCAAACAGAGACAGUGAGCGCAGCCGACACGUGAUCGUGUGUAAAUGUUUCUGACAUUUAUCAUCACUGACCGACGAACACGCCGAGCUGAUGAGAAACAUGUUGACGUUCCUGUUGUGAGCCCACUCAGAGUGUGUUCAUGUUCCUGUGAGCUGAUGACUUCAGUCAGGAUGAAGCUGGACGUGUGCUGCUGCCUGUUAGCAGCCGCUGCUCUGGGCUCUAACGUCGCUGCAGAUUUCAUCCAUAAAAUUCUUGAAGAGAAGCAGCUCAUCGCUCUGCACUGUCCUCACUCUGUGGAGGGUGAAGUGAGGUGGAGCAGAGAGAGUGGAGGAAGCAGAGCUGACAUACUUACAGCUGAUGGAGACGGAGACAAAACACAUCAAUGAUCCACAGAAACGAUACGAUUCACAGGCUGACGGGUCUCUGAUCAUCCUCAGAGCUGCUCUCUCAGACUCUGGGAGAUACUUCUGUAACCAUGAAGCAGCUGUGGAGCUGACAGUGAUCCAUCAGGAACUACAACCGUGAGCGCCACAGUAAGGAGCGGCGUCUCUCUGCAGACGUGUCCGAGUCUCCAACAUGGACGAGGCAGAUCGGUGCAGACACCACCACCGUCUUCGGUCACAGCGAGACGGAGGAGCGCGCUCAGCGUUCACCUGACGAGAACACGCUGACUUUAACAGACGUUCAGCUCGGCGACUCUGGACUGUACUCCUGUGCUGAGGGAGCAGCGGUUUAUCUGAAUGAGACCAAAGACCCGACUGACACGUCGCAGAAAGCAGCUGUAAAUGAAAGCGUGUUUAUUCAGCCUCUAAUAUCAGGGGCUCAUUUUGAGCAGCGGCUGGUUCUGGGUGCUGUCGCCCCCCUCAUCUUCAUCACGGUCAUCCUCCUCUUCAUCACGUGGAGAUGCAGAAAUAAAAGAAAAGAACGAAGUGAAAGUGUUUGUGCUGAGAGACACUGAAGGCUGAAGCUGCAUGUCUCUGUGUGAUGAGACACUUUAAACUGCUGCAGGUCUGGGUGCAGCGAGGUCACGCUCAGGAAACCAGUUUGAGAUGAUGGGACCUUUGAGGCAGGUGUCCUCACAGGGGACAAGUGACCUCAGUGUCAUUCGUUUUUUCUGUCAUCUUAUGUUAAAGGAAGGAAAUGUUACAGUGUGAACCUCUGUGAAGUUAUUUAUGUCCAUGUGUGUCAGGCAGAGCCUAAAGUUGAUCCUGUGGGCAGAGAUCCAUCAGGCAGAGGCAAUGAAAUUCCUGCUUUUCCAGUAUUUUUCUCACUUCCAUGGAAUUAAAAAGAAAAAGACAAAACUGUUGAGUGAACAAAAGCUUGUUUUUCCCUAAAGGUGGAUCUCAUCAGGGUGAUGUCACGUACUCGCUUCAUCCUCCAGCUCUGGGAAACAAACCUGGUAAAGCCUCAGAGAUAUUUGAGGAUAUAAUGAAAUAUUCACGUGUGUCUCCUGCAGCGCCGCGAGCCAACACGUGUGUUUACUCUGUGAUCAAACUGCACCGACAGGAACCCUGAAGGAAAUCCUGAGGAUCAAACCUUCCACGCCUCCUGCUGCGAGCUUCUGCUCACGUUUCACUUUAACUUUCAAAAUUAUUUUGAUUCUUGGAAAUCAGUCAAAUCAAAUUAAUAUUCAUUGUGCUGGUUAAUAAAACAUAACAAUGAUGUCAUCGUGUUUACCUUUUGUUUGACUUUCACACAAACAUUCAGAGGAACAAAGAAAUAUCCAAUUAAAAUCUCAGCUAGUCCUUCAAAUCUUCUUCAUCUGAGAGCUUCCAGCUCCUCAUCAGAUCCAUGUGACACAGCAGACCUGCAGCGGGAGCACGCCUCUUUAUUUUCCAGGCCGCUGACACUCCCUGAGUCACUGAGGAUGAGGAAGGAGAGGAAGAGCGGUGCAGGGACAGACGGGCUCGAGGCACAUCGACAGCUCUGCAGCUCCACGUUUGUUCCUGAACAUGUUCACUCUGCUGGUCUCCUGUCACGUUUGGUUCCUGCUCUCAGGUCUGAUCGGCUGCACGGAAAACUCCACAGCGAUCUGGUUUUCAGUCCCUGAGAAUCACCACGUCUGUCUGCCCUGCGGCAGCUCUGGCAGCUCCGACGUGAUCUGGACUCUGCAGGAUCAGGAGGUCCUGGUGACCCGACGAGGCAGCUACAAGACCAACAAGGACCGCCAGCGCUACCUCCUCAUGGUUAAUGGCAGCCUCUGCAUCCUGCAUCUGGAGGAGUCGGAUCAUGGAGGAUACCGCUGUAACCAGCAGCUGGUGGCUGAGCUGCAGGUGCUGACAGGUCGGAACUACACGGUGUCCGCAGGCCGGACGCUGCUGCUCCCCUGCAGCGGCUCCUCCAAACCCAAACAGAGGUGGUUCCAGCAGAGGGAGGGCGAGAGGCGGGAGGCCGUCCUCACCAAGUACAGAAACGGUACGGUGAAACCAGAGAGGGGCGGCGGCCGGCUGAGCUUCACCAACGACGCCCUGCAGAUCCAGGACCUGCAGCCAGAGGACGCUGGAGAGUACGUCUGCAACGGGGUGCUGCAGGCCAGAGUCACGGUCCUCACAGCACACGCAGAGACGAGCAGCCAGCCUCCGUCCACCAGCACAACUCCAUCACCUGCAGUCGUGACAGCAGAAGUGGAAGAAAUAAAGAAGAAGAGCAACACGAGACCUGAGAACGGUCAGUCCGGUUAUAAAUCACCUGUAGUUUUCUGCCAGAUGUGUCACAUGUUCAUGGACCAGAUGUUGUGUGCGCUCUCAGUUCUGCUGCUGGUUGCUGUCGUCAGUGUGGGCUUGAUGAUCAUCUUCUUAGCUGCUGUCUGUGUGUUGCUGACCAGCAUGAAGUGCAGGAGGAAGAAACGCAGAGCUGCAGGAUCCAGUAUUAGACUCAGCAUGUUUUCUGAAGAUCCUGUGCUCUUCAUCUCUUCAUCACCACCUCUGCGUGUAGCAGCACCGACACGUGACGACACGGAGCUGCAGCCGUGGACGACGUCCAGCGCACCGACAGAGGGUGAGGACUUAGAGACCCCGCCCCUCUGUGGGGAGACGAUCCACUACGCCUCUCUGGGCCGACAGAACUGGAGGGAGAGACCCAGCAGGAGUCCGCCGGAGCAGAGCCACCACAGCGUCAUCUACUCCUCCGUCAUCAGCAGACCUGCAGCGAGAGCUGAGCACAAACUCUGAAAGCUAAAGUCUGAAUGUACAGUCGUGUGACGGGAAGCUUUAAAAUCACAUCCCUGUGUGAAAGUGCAGCUUAGUUUCACUUUGGCCAAAAUACACCUGUAACACAAGCUGUUAAACUCCUGUCAGUCAGUUUGGUUUUCAUGUUUCACUUUCACUGUCUGCUUCAGGCAGCAGAGCUGGUUUCACAGAGACUUUACAUGUUACACCGAGGAGUCGUUUACACAUGUGGAGCGUCACAUCUGGACAGGCUGCCGUCUUUAUAAACAGAGGUCAGGACA
This is a long non-coding RNA of Oreochromis niloticus (Nile tilapia), 5385 nucleotides long. RefSeq annotates it as inactive tyrosine-protein kinase 7. NCBI's taxonomy places the organism in Eukaryota, Metazoa, Chordata, Actinopteri, Cichliformes, Cichlidae. The record is from RefSeq and is a predicted model, not a curated record. The transcript is spliced from 13 exons.